This is an RNA transcript of Coccinella septempunctata (seven-spotted ladybird), 1321 nucleotides long. It is a transcript of the gene named protein drumstick-like, with no coding region annotated. Lineage: Eukaryota; Metazoa; Arthropoda; Insecta; Coleoptera; Coccinellidae. The transcript has 4 exons. The record is from RefSeq and is a predicted model, not a curated record.
GCUACACAUUACUGCUAGGAUCAUUGGGCUACCAACUCUAGUUUGGUACAGAAGCAAAAGUUUUAACUAUAUCUUAAGGUUGUUCCAGUAUCUUUGUAAUUGAGUUCGGUUUGCGAGGCACAACACAACAGUUUAUCGUUUUAGGCAAAAUUGACUCAUCACGAAGCGAAGAAGUCAUCAGGAUAUCGCAUCGAAAUUUCCAUAGGAACGAAGGAGAUAAAUCAAGAAUUGCCCGACGUAAGCGAUUAAAAUACACCGCAGCACGGACUAGGUAAUAAUCGAAUAAAAUUCACAUCUUUGUUGAUCCGCAAAACGAGAUAAGGCACAAAAUCGGGCAAAAUGUUUGCGAUCAUGCAGAUCGAUAACGACGUGAGUGGUAGAGAGUUCCGUAGAAAAAUGCGUUCCAAAUGCGAAUACGUUUGCAAAUACUGCCAAAGAAGGUUCACCAAAAGCUACAAUCUGAUGAUACACGAGAGGACCCACAAUUCCUUGACUUUCAUCUGCGAAGUUUGCGGGAAGAACUUCAAGAGACAGGACAACCUGAAACAGCACAGAUGUAAUCAAUGCAUAUGGCGGUAAAGGGAUCCUUGGAACCUGGGCAAGUCCAGCCCUGUCUUCUUGUAAUACAAUGACAAUACAUUAUCCAUCGUCACCAUCAACUCACAACUGCUGUUCGAGAUACUGAUAGAUAAUUCCAUAGAUUAACAAAUUCCACUACAGUAUUCACCAGUAUUCUAUUUAUUGUAUUGUUUGUAUUACAAAUGUACAUAUUUUAAAUUAUGUAGGUUAACAUAUUUAAUAUAAAAAUCGCAAUAUAUUUAUAUAACUCGAUAAAGUACCAUGUUUCAAUUUGACACGUUGUUAAUUUAUAAAAAAAAACAGACUAUGUGAUGUCUAGUCUCAAAUUUAUUUUAUUUUAAAUGAGUUAUUAAAAUUGAUGACAUGUGAGGACGAUAAUGCAUCAGAAUCCAUGAUGAAUAUUUUCAUUACAGUUUACUGAUAUGAAACUAUAUCUUCUACGCUGGAUUCGCUGCAAUUUCUGCAAUAUUCUAGUGCAAUUUUCCAAUUGUAUCACUUUGAAUUUGCGUUGUUUCAUGCUUUCAAAAUGUAUCCUAAGUUUCUUCUACUAAUAUCCUUCGGAACUGUGAAUGAAAACUGAAUUUUUUUUGUUCUAUGCAAAAAUAAUGUCAGUAGCUUGUUUAGUUCGUUAGACUUGAUGCAAUAUAAAAUACGUAACUAUUCUAGAGGUUAUUUAUUAAAUUAGGACUAAGAGCUUCUUAUUAUAUUUGUAUAUUUUUUGUAGAAUAAAAUUUCAGACACA